GGGCCCGCACAAGCGGUGGAGCAUGUGGUUUAAUUCGACGCAACGCGAAGAACCUUACCUGGUCUUGACAUCCUGCGAACUUUCUAGAGAUAGAUUGGUGCCUUCGGGAACGCAGUGACAGGUGCUGCAUGGCUGUCGUCAGCUCGUGUCGUGAGAUGUUGGGUUAAGUCCGGCAACGAGCGCAACCCACAUCUUUAGUUGCCAGCAGUUCGGCUGGGCACUCUAGAGAAACUGCCCGUGAUAAGCGGGAGGAAGGUGGGGACGACGUCAAGUCAUCAUGGCCCUUACGGCCUGGGCUACACACGUGCUACAAUGGCUAGGACAGACGGCCGCAAACCCGUGAGGGGGAGCCAAUCCGACAAACCUAGUCGUAGUCCGGAUCGGAGUCUGCAACUCGACUCCGUG
Molecule: ribosomal RNA, 405 nt
Filed under: uncultured bacterium
Lineage: Bacteria
Description: bacterial SSU rRNA
Rfam family: Bacterial small subunit ribosomal RNA
Source: RNAcentral